Non-coding RNA from Schistosoma rodhaini, 45 nucleotides. The record is from Rfam. Lineage: Eukaryota; Metazoa; Platyhelminthes; Trematoda; Strigeidida; Schistosomatidae.
AUUCAGCUGACGAGUCCCAAAUAGGACGAAACACACGUCCUGGAU